RNAcentral lists this long non-coding RNA (4111 nucleotides) under Xyrichtys novacula (pearly razorfish). Lineage: Eukaryota; Metazoa; Chordata; Actinopteri; Labriformes; Labridae. The record is from RNAcentral.
UCGUCUCCAGAUUCCAGGGUCGGGAAUUAUAAACAGAUCAAAACCAGAUAGCUUAAAAGGUGCUGGUAGCGAUCUGCUCAUUAGUCAUCACAAAAACAAGCUGAUGCGUCUCGAUGACGGCCCCUCUCGUGCUCUUUGUGAGUAAAGCCUGAGUAACACUUUCUUCUCGCCACAGAUGACCGCCCUCUUCCUGCCACUAGAGAAAGGGAAGCGGGCCCACAACAGAUACCUUACAUUGUUUCGAAUCAGUGUUUCCACUCAUAAGUAAAGAUGAUAUCUUUUUCAGGGAGACGCCCAGAUUACAAGGGUUUAGGUGGCGAAUCACUCUACGCUGGUUAGUUUGGUUUAUAUCAGUCCUUGAAUCAAAUUAGAUCACACGAUGGUAAUUACACCUGCAAGUGUUCGCUAAAGUUUGCAUCUGAAUACAUGAAAGAGCGGCGUGGACUUUGCCGCCACAUCACUGACACUGUCAAUCCCACUCCAGCCUCUUGAAGGUAUGCAGUCAUCCUCUCUGCUGAGAAUGAGCAAACACUUUCUAAUCCUUUGAAAUGUUCAGUUCUCUGUUUACUGUCUUUUUAUUAAGGUGGGGUUGUGUGAGGCGCUCGCCACUCGUGGAGCAGUAGGCUAUCAGCAGCUGCAGGCGAGAUCAUCCCUGCAACGGAAUUCAGCUUAUUCCAAGAAACACUGUCGAUGCUCUGCUUGGGAAAGUUUCAGCUCCGUUCUUUGCUAUCAGAAAGCCGUUUAGGUUUCGCACCACUCUUGAAUGGUCAGUUAUAUCAAAAUUCAUGAUUACGAUUAAGUCUAUCGACAUCGAAGUCUAAAACUUAAGAACUCUUAAAAGCUCUUUUUUUAAAAACUGAAAAUAAAUAAGAAUUAAAAAAAUAUAUAUUUAUAUAUAUGUUAUUAGCUUUGACUUAACUAAAACUGGACGUCAGACCUUCUCUUAUAGAUAGAUAGAUAGAUAGAUAGAUAGAUAGAUAGAUAGAUAGAUAGAUAGAUAGAUAGAUAGAUAGAUAGAUAGAUAGAUACUUUAAUCACAGGCUGUACAUCCAUCAUGUCAUCUAGCCUUUUCAAGCUUUUAUAUUUAUAAUAUCAAGAAUUAGGCCAUGUAGAGUCUCAUUUAUCCAGGUCAUGGUUUUCUAGAAAUCUCCAAAAUCUGGCAACUGGACUGUGUAGAGUUGAGAAGACGUUUUGGGGGGAGCUGGUAUUUUAUCUUACUGGAGGAGGGAAAACAACGACUAGGAGGAGUUGGAGUGAAUGGGUCAACCCCCACCAGCUGUUUUAGAAGUGAAGAAGCUUCUUGGAUAAGCGGCGAAACGUCUUCUCAACUCUACAAAGUCCAGUUGCCAGAUUUUGGAGAUUUCUAGAAAAUCAAGAAUUGGGAUUUUAUUCUAUUACGACAUGGACCGAUGUUACUGACUAGCCUUGCGAGUGUUUGCUUGUUCGUCAUCCCUACUCCGUCCCUUUGCUUUUCAGGCGCAAAUUCAGUCACAUACAGACUCACCUGCCUCCUCCUCCUCCAGCCAAAUUUCCAGUUGAAAUUAAAACCUGAUGAAUCAACUAGUUCUAAUCUAAGAUGGGCUGGUGAGUCAAAGAGACGCAAAAGUUUCAAAAUUCACGGGGCAAAAGUCACAAAGAAGAUCCAAUUCAUUGACUGAUGCUCUGAUUGGACGUUUUGAUGUGAAAUGUGAAAUAAUGAGAAUUAUCUAAAUAGAGUAGACACGAACAUCAACAUUACUGUGUGGGAGAGAGUUUCUCAAAAUGAGCUGGUCCAGUCUGCAGAAGCUGGUAGCCUAGCUUCAUUUUCAGUUCUCGAGGCCAAACUGACUGGGUUCCUUUUCUGGGUGACACCACUCAAAAAAGAAAAAUCACUUUUAUCUUUAACAAAAAGUCCUGUAUGCUUCCUCUGACCCACAGGUGUAGACAAACAGCAGUCUGGUGGGCAGAGAGGAAACUCUCAGCCAAAGAAGUUGGAUAUAAAUAUCCACUUUAUAAGACAGUUUCCUCCAAAAGCCAACGCUUCACGUCCUACCUUGUAAUUUAUCACUGCUCUCUCUGUCUUAUAGGAAGAAAAUCAAAGGACGGGAAAUAUCCAGAUCAAAGAUUGCCAUGUGUAAAGUUUCUUUUAUUUUCCCUCAUUAUUUCUGAACUAUAUGGGAAUCUUUCUAAACACACUGAUCUCGUCUUCAGAAACAACCACUUGCUGAACAACGCCUGAGUAAAUUUUAAAGCAAAAGCCUGGCUGUAAUGACGCUAAAUGCACUGUUAACUUACACACCAGCUCUCAGAUGUGUGCUCCUUUUAGUUUGAGACUAAGGGUGUAAAGGCGGGGAUGAUGAUUUCAGAUUCCUGGGAGAAAAUUCCCAGGCCUGGAAGAGCCCGUGGAAAGUAAUCAAGUAGCAGAGUGAUGUCAUUGUGAUGAAAGGCAGCCUGUCAGACAGUUGGCGACUAUGGGUGCUCUUUGGCAUGGGCCGCAGCCCGCUAUACACCAAAAUAUGACAUCAAAGCAGGUACCCGGCCAGGCCAAGAGGCUGGCACUGAUCAUUGUCUUCUUUGAUUACAGAAGCUUCAUCUUCUCGCUGGGAGGAUAAAAGAAAACGGCUGCUUGGUGUUAAGAGAGUGUCAAAAAUAAUGAGGCACAUGCCAUGCGCUAAUGGCGUCCCAGUGGUUCAGUGGAUGGGAGCGCAUACCGCUGAUACUCACAACAUGGUGGGACCAUUUCCCAGAGUGGGUUUAAGUCUAGUCCUCGACUGUGGGGUGUUCUAGUGGAUCUUUCCAGUAAAUCUCGGUCUUAAACCCUGUCUUAAAAACUGGCACUGGGAGUGUUGACCUAACAUCAGAUUCAUGUUGCACGUCCUCUGUUGUUGAAAAGUGAGGUCAGGGUGGAAGUGUAUGAAAGGGGAGCGACUGGCAACGAAAACCGAGGAAACUCCAGCACAGACCAGAUUAAAAGGCCCAGAUUUAAAAAGAGAGAAUUUAAUGUGUUUACAACUUGCAUUAUUUCUUUACUCUUCUCAAGUGUGCAGGAGUAAACUAUCUUAAAACUCACUGGUUUUGGUUAAACUGAGGCAUAAUGAGCCAUAUUCCCACAGCAGCCAUCUUCUUGUGCCUCAAACCGAAAACAUACAGGACCCGUAUUGAGCAUGUUCCAUAUUUGCUCACAACAGGUUGUUUUGCCUUUCUGUGCUCUAUUUCCUGCUAAUUUCGAUAUAAUUCAGUGACCGUCGAACCUCUACUAGCAGUCAAAAGUCCUGUUGGUGUCCACAUGGAUCAGGGAUUGACCAUUGGAUGCUUCUGUGUUACUGAUAAAUCCAUGACAUAUCUGCACAAACUGAUACACAGUCGGGAGUUCGCAUAUGGUGUUUUAUUUUGAAAUACCAGAUGAUAUCCGCAGUUUUCAUGGUUGACUUCCUGUCUAGGACCAUCCUUUCUGUGUGGAUGGACACGCAUUGGAAGCGUAGAGCAGCAAAAAUAGACUUGUUGCAGUGCUGCUCUUGAUACGAUGCUGCGAUGGCGCUGAUACGUGUCCUGUAUGCUUUGCUGCAUUGGUUGGUAUGGCAACCUAUUUGCUGCGUGAUACGCGACACUGCUGUCACGCUCUAAAUACACAUCCUGUAUGUUUUAGCCUUCGCUGUCAUCAGUGAAGCAUCAUGGUUGUACCUCUGAACCGUAGUCAGGUGGCAGGAUGUGAAACAAGACCGAGGCUUCUACUUCUCAUGUUGAAGGGUUCAUCCCCUUUACAUUACGUAGUCUGAAAUCCACAUUGACGUCUUUUCAUGACUCACAGAAGCAAACAAAACUAUCAGCGACAAUUCUGACGAUUUUCAUAUGAGGGUUUUUAAUGCCUGGAACCACAGCAGCAAAAGAAAUAUUUUUUUUACUUUUUUAACCGUCAAAACUCAGAAUAGGAUUUUUCGUUCGCGCAUACAUGUCGAAAAGAAAAUAGAUCCCAAACUGUUUUAUCCAGGUGUGAUACUCCGACAAUGAGAAGUUCGAUUUAGUGCCAUCUCAGUUUGACAGAGGUGUGACGUAUUGUAGUUGUUUGCCAGGUGACUAACCCCUUCGUUGGUUCGAGUCAGCAGUCAUCUAUACGCUUCGUCAUGCCUCUCCA